Molecule: microRNA precursor, 125 nt
Filed under: Myotis lucifugus (little brown bat)
Lineage: Eukaryota; Metazoa; Chordata; Mammalia; Chiroptera; Vespertilionidae
Description: mir-9193 microRNA precursor family
Source: Rfam by way of RNAcentral
AGUGCACCGGUGGGGUCCCUCGGCCUGGCUUGCGUCCUCUCGCAAUCUGGAACCCUCAGGGGAUGUCGGAGAGCCAGUUUUGGCCCGAUCCCGCAGGCCAGGCCGAGGGACCCCACUGGUGCACG